UGGGGAAUAUUGGACAAUGGGCGAAAGCCUGAUCCAGCCAUGCCGCGUGUGUGAAGAAGGUCUUCGGAUUGUAAAUCACUUUAUGUUGGGUGGAAGGGCAGUAAGCGAAUACCUUGCUGUUUUGACGUUACCGACAGAAUAAGCACCGGCUAACUCUGUGCCAGCAGCCGCGGUAAUACAGAGGGUGCAAGCGUUAAUCGGAAUUACUGGGCGUAAAGCGCGCGUAGGUGGUUCGUUAAGUUGAAUGUGAAAGCCCCGGGCUCAACCUGGGAACUGCAUCCAAAACUGGCGAGCUAGAGUAGGGCAGAGGGUGGUGGAAUUUCCUGUGUAGCGGUGAAAUGCGUAGAUAUAGGAAGGAACACCAGUGGCGAAGGCGACCACCUGGGCUCAUACUGACACUGAGGUGAGAAAGCGUAGGGAGCAAACAGG
This 429-nucleotide ribosomal RNA is filed under the name Pseudomonadota bacterium. Its description in RNAcentral is "Proteobacteria bacterium partial 16S ribosomal RNA". It matches the Rfam family "Bacterial small subunit ribosomal RNA", at positions 355 to 776 of the family's 1533-position model. Lineage: Bacteria; Pseudomonadati; Pseudomonadota. The record is from RNAcentral.